UGUCCUCGAACUCAUAAUCCUCCCGCUUAAACCUCCCAAAUACUAGGAUUACAGGUAUGCGUUCCCAUGUUUGGCUCAAAAAAGGUGUUUUAUUUAAACCAAUUCUGUAUUUAGACUCAGAGAGAAGGCACAAACUCAUGUGUAGGUAAAAAUUUCAGAUUAUCAAUGACUGUCAUCAUUUACCUAUCUGAUCCUAUUCUGGGUCAAUAGUGUGCAAGGAUAUUACUUUAAGAUGUUUGCUCUGACUUCAACCCUCUGAUUCCAUGAAAGAAAAGUAUUUCUGCCUGAUAUUGCCCCGGAUUUCCCCACAGGCUCACACUCCAGGCUCAACAUACCCUGCCUAAAAGUUGUAACUUCCCCAGGUACUUCAUCUAUGUAUUACUAUUAUUAAUUAUUGCUAUUAUGAUUGCUUCUGCUUUCUAGCCACCAUGCUCUGUGCUUAUCUUUUACAUCAGACUCUGGGAUGGGGUCUACUUCUGAUUUGGCCUCACAUCCCUGAAGUCCUUCCUUCCUGGCCUUUUGCAUGCCCGAAGCCCUGACAGUUCCCUGGAUGGAUACAUGGAUGCACGGACAGCCGGCUAGACAGGUAGACGGCUGGCUGGCUGGACAGCAGGACAGAUGAACUAAGGGCUGGGAGGAAGCAGGGACGGGCACUCUUCCUACGUGUGUGCUACUGCAAGUUCCUCUUGUUCCUCUGGGACAACAGCACACAUCCACCCUCUUUACCACACUCGUUUGAUUCCUAGGCAUGUACUCAACGGGAGGGCUCACAAUUUCUCUCCUGCCACCACUACAUUCAAGCUCACCGGCACACAGCAGCACGGGAGAGCUCUGAGGGGGUCCACGGCUUGAAGGGUGAGCUUUUUGACUGAACCACAAUCCACGCAUCACUGCUCUCGCUUCGUAUUUAAGAAACAGAAGUUUUCUGCUGGGAAAAUUCCCUCUCUCACCUGCUUCACGCACCUCCCAACCUCUGCAGAGAGACCUUUCAUCUUUCCUAAGGCCCUCAUCACCUAUUCUCUCAAACUUUAAUUUCGAAAACAACAGAUGAGGAAAUAAAGGCCACAGUAAGAAAAAUAAAACAGGUUAGUCGACAGCAAAAGGAGUACCUGCCAAUAAGAGCACCGUUUGUCCUAGUUACUGCUUUUAACUUCCUCGCUCUCCUGGCAUUAAUAGAAAUAAAACUGCAUGUCUCCAGCCUCAUGCUGCUAAUGUACAGUUAGCACCCCAGGCAACGGGAGCCACGGAGUUCAAGUGCAGUGGAAGCAAACUCAAGUAAACAGAUUGGAGACACGAUUGAUUGCAACACUUAGUCUCAUGGUACCACUCAUCACAGCUGCUGGGUUUCAUGUAAAAACAGGGAGUCCUGUGGUGGGACAGCCCCAUGGAACCAUCUAGGCCCCCAUGCCACAGAAGUACCUCUCUGUCAUAUAGAAAAUGUGGAGGGAUCAGCAAAGAAUGGAUGAGAAGUGGGGAGUAGUUGUUCCCAUACAGGGUUGCCUGGUUCCAACAGACUCUUCUACCCUACACGCCAAUGCCUGCUUCCUUCCCCCCAACCCCCGCCUCCUACAGCCACAACUCUGCCAGGGGCGCGGCAGCUGUCCCACCAGAUGACUGCCUUCCAGCAAGGCCAUUUCUCUACACUGGCACAUCUGAGCACUCUGAUGGUGCACCCCAAGGUCACCUUUCCAAUUUGCUUAUACCUCCACAUCAGAUUUGCACUACUGUCCCCGGUGGUGUCAGUGCGGCUAACUGCUCAGAACAGGGACCAAUGUCACCGAUGCAAAGGAGCAAGAAUAAGUGACUUAAGAUCUGACGUGGUGGCCCUCUGGAGUUCACAAGGUGCUUCCAGCACCACAGAGACCACGUGAUCCUUUCCCUGAGCCUCUGAGAUCUCCAAGGCAAGCAUUUCCUUUUCUCUUUAUUCUUUCCAACCCAGCUGGAGGAUCCGGUUUGCCAACAAAACCUUAGAUUUCCAGCAAAAACUUAGAUGAACCUGGGUCCUCGUGUGGCUGGAGCUGGGCACGGUCAAAGGCCUCUGAAAAGAAACUACAAGCCUGGUCCGUAGAUCCCGCUCGCGCCAUGCUCCCUGCUCAACACCCUUCUUCCAUCACGCCCAACGUCUCUGAGUUCACCCUCACCACACGGCAAACGUGGUUCUUGGGGCCUGAGACCCAAACUGUAAUUUCCUGAUGAACUUACGUGUUGAAUGAGGUCUCGCCUUACACAACACCACGUCCCUCUCUAAACAGGCUGGGAAGUCACCCCCUUCUCCCACAGGAGGACUCAUGCUGAGGAGCCCCAGGACCUUGGGCCUCCGCUCGCCAGAACCAAGCUGGAGAUGCUAAGUAAGUGGUGAGACUCCUUCUGUCCAACCCCAACAGCUCAUCCCUUCACGCACUGAAGGGCAGCAACAAAACGUCCAGGUUUGUUGAAACGGUACUCAGAAACCCAAGGACAGCUAGGGGGUGAGAACAGGUCUUUUGUUAAGUCUUCAAGGGCCAUUCUGACAUUUCUGGUCCCCAGACCUCCCACCUGUGUUCUGCUUCAUGGAACCACACCAUGGCUGUUGAGCAGGGCUUCCUGCGCAGAGACAGCUAAGUGACAGCAGAAGGAGUCACCUGGGUGGCACUGGUUACAAAACCCCCUAUUCGAUGGCUUCUGCAUUCUAGUCUUCUUGGGGGAAAUGCCGAUUGGCAAAUGACAGCAGUCAGGCUGGUGUGUCAGGAGCACUCUCUAAGGACAUAAAAUACAUAAGAUGUGGCUCAUAAAAUAUCUGCAGGGUGCUAUAAGGAAGCUACCGCAGAACAAGUUGUUUUACAUGUGCUCAUGUACAAACAUAUCUACAGGAAAUAUUACGGUGUAUGUAAAAACUGGCAUCUCUCUGUUCAGACAUGGCAUCUAAAUCCCUGCAAGCAUCGAUGUGAUUACAUUACUCCAGUGAGUUCCCUUGGAAAAGUCAGGUGUUGACUGCUGCUGGUGUCUGCAACAAUUUCCAGACACGAGCCCUGCUGGUUCAGCGUCUGGACAGAGAUAAAGUUCCUUAACUCUGACCACUUCAACUCAAGGUCAUUGGUUACAUUUAAUGCUGGAAUUUGGAUUCCAGACUUUUAAAAACACACAGCCUGGGCACUGAAACAUGACUGGUCACUCUGCAGUGAGUAACUCCGCCAUCCUCAGCAAUGGAAAUCAGUCAUGGAAGGCAAGUGCUCCCACAGACAGCUUUCCUUCAGGGUUGGAACAGGGGACUAGAAUUCAAAAGUAAAAUGCCCCCCACCCCAGCCUCGAGUCCAUCUCCUGCCCUGAGUGUUACACGCCCCUCUAUCCACACAGGUGCUCCAGAGGACCGGACCAUUUCAGGAGAGCCUCACCUGUUUCCAGCCCAAUGUCCAUCUACCACCAUGAGCCGCUGGCACACGGAAUGAAUACUGCCAACUGCCUGCCACAGCCAUAUUGCUGACCUGGGAAAUGAGAAGAAAUUUUGAAGAAAUGUGAUAAAGGACCCAACAGAACCGGAAAGGAGUGAGUGGAAGCACAGAGCCCCGGAGCAGGGGAAAGUGGAGGCUCCAGGUUCUGCAGAGGUGGGGAGGACCGCUCAAACGUGAGAACAGAAGUUUGCACCCCAGCACCCACAUAAAAGUCAAAUGGACUCUGCAGAUGUCUAACAUCCUAGGACUCGGGGUGGAGACAGAGAUGUCUGGACAAGCUGAUUGGCUAGACUAGCAGAACUGGCGAGAGACCCUGCCUCAGUGAAUAAAGCAGCAGGUGGCUGACGAAGAUGCCCAGUGUCAACCUCUGGUCUCCACACACAAGUGUGCACAUGUGUACUCACACUUAACACACAUGUGCCACGCACACAAAGAAAUACAUAAACAAUGGGGGUGAGAACAGACGGACGCAGCAAGCACGCAACCUGCACGGGUCUACACCAGGGCCUCUGAAUGCACAUUACAGCCUUCAGUUCAGCUCUUUAUGGUCUACACCAGGGCCUCCGAAUGCACAUUACAGCCUUCAGUUCAGGCUCUUUAUGGGGCUCCCCAAUGUGUGGACCAGUGCUGUGAUCCUCGUGUCUUCUCUUGGUUUGCCUUGUCCAAUCUUGAUGUGACAGGUUUUGUUUCAA
Long non-coding RNA from Mesocricetus auratus (golden hamster), 4120 nucleotides. RefSeq lists it as uncharacterized. The transcript has 2 exons. Lineage: Eukaryota; Metazoa; Chordata; Mammalia; Rodentia; Cricetidae. The record is from RefSeq and is a predicted model, not a curated record.